Molecule: ribosomal RNA, 876 nt
Filed under: uncultured bacterium
Lineage: Bacteria
Description: bacterial SSU rRNA
Rfam family: Bacterial small subunit ribosomal RNA
Source: RNAcentral
AGAGUUUGAUCCUGGCUCAGAUUGAACGCUGGCGGAAUGCUUUACACAUGCAAGUCGAACGGUAGAGGGGGCAACCCCUUGAGAGUGGCGAACGGGUGAGUAAUAUAUCGGAACGUGCCCAGUCGUGGGGGAUAACGUAGCGAAAGUUACGCUAAUACCGCAUACGAUCUAUGGAUGAAAGCGGGGGACCGUAAGGCCUCGCGCGAUUGGAGCGGCCGAUAUCAGAUUAGGUAGUUGGUGGGGUAAAGGCUCACCAAGCCAACGAUCUGUAGCUGGUCUGAGAGGACGACCAGCCACACUGGAACUGAGACACGGUCCAGACUCCUACGGGAGGCAGCAGUGGGGAAUUUUGGACAAUGGACGCAAGUCUGAUCCAGCCAUUCCGCGUGCAGGAUGAAGGCCCUCGGGUUGUAAACUGCUUUUGUACGGAACGAAAAGGUCUCUAUUAAUACUAGGGGCUCAUGACGGUACCGUAAGAAUAAGCACCGGCUAACUACGUGCCAGCAGCCGCGGUAAUACGUAGGGUGCAAGCGUUAAUCGGAAUUACUGGGCGUAAAGCGUGCGCAGGCGGUUAUGUAAGACAGAGGUGAAAUCCCCGGGCUCAACCUGGGAACUGCCUUUGUGACUGCAUAGCUAGAGUACGGUAGAGGGGGAUGGAAUUCCGCGUGUAGCAGUGAAAUGCGUAGAUAUGCGGAGGAACACCGAUGGCGAAGGCAAUCCCCUGGACCUGUACUGACGCUCAUGCACGAAAGCGUGGGGAGCAAACAGGAUUAGAUACCCUGGUAGUCCACGCCCUAAACGAUGUCAACUGGUUGUUGGGUCUUCACUGACUCAGUAACGAAGCUAACGCGUGAAGUUGACCGCCUGGGGAGUACG